GUGGGGAAUAUUGGACAAUGGGGGAAACCCUGAUCCAGCGAUGCCGCGUGAGUGAAGAAGGCCUUAGGGUUGUAAAGCUCUUUCAGUAGUGAAGAUGAUGACGGUAGCUACAGAAGAAGGACCGGCUAACUCCGUGCCAGCAGCCGCGGUAAUACGGAGGGUUCAAGCGUUGUUCGGAAUUACUGGGCGUAAAGAGCGCGUAGGCGGCGCAGAUAGUCAGAUGUGAAAGCCCUGGGCUUAACCCAGGAGGUGCAUUUGAUACUGCUGUGCUAGAGUACCGAAGAGGUAAGUGGAAUUCCUAGUGUAGAGGUGAAAUUCGUAGAUAUUAGGAGGAACACCAGUGGCGAAGGCGGCUUACUGGUCGGUAACUGACGCUGAGGCGCGAAAGCGUGGGGAGCAAACAGGAUUAGAAACCCGAGUAGUCC
This 425-nucleotide ribosomal RNA is filed under the name uncultured bacterium. Its description in RNAcentral is "bacterial SSU rRNA". It matches the Rfam family "Bacterial small subunit ribosomal RNA", at positions 354 to 796 of the family's 1533-position model. The record is from RNAcentral.